Molecule: non-coding RNA, 2281 nt
Organism: Camellia sinensis
Lineage: Eukaryota; Viridiplantae; Streptophyta; Magnoliopsida; Ericales; Theaceae
Source: RefSeq, a predicted model, not a curated record
UUCUCUCAAUUUUUAGUUUCUUUACGUUAAUUAUUGGCAUUUGGAUUGAUAACCAGAGCUUCUUGUGGAAAUUAUUUAGUUUUUCAUUCCUUUACUCAUCAAUAUUUAGACCCUUUACCCACCCAAAAAAUAUUUAGACCCUUUUUGUUUUUUGUCUCAAUUUUGUUCGUUCGUUGGUAGGCUUAUCUAGAUCACGAUCUUAACAAUUGGAUUGUUCAGUAUAUGAAUUUUAGUAUUGUUUCGAUUGGUGGGUAUGAUUUAGAUUUUGAUAAAUUUGUUUGAAUUUUGCAAAAUUUAUAUGUUUAUUGACCUAUUCUUUGGCAAUUUUGUUGUGUUCAAUUCGUUAAAUUGCCACAAAAAUGAAAUUUUUGGGAAUUCUUCUGAAUUAUUGUUCAUUUGAUCAAUUGGGUCAGUGUUGUUUUGGUGAAUUUUGGUCUGAAUUUGUGAUUUGGUUGUUCAGAGGGGAGGGGUUUGAAUUCAAUUCCUUAGAAAAUGGGGGUUCCCUCGGUCUCAGGUGAGUAUUUGACUUCCCUUGAAUCAGUUUUACUUGAUUGUUCUAUCUCUUUGAAGUAAUGUCAAUAAUUUUCGUUGCUUCAGAGGUUAGUAGGCGUGACUUUUUGCAAUUCUUUUGCUUCUGUAUGUUGAGGAUGACUACUUCAAAGUAUUUUAUCAAGUACAUUGUUAUUGAGUACUCAACAAAAAGAGAAAAAAAGGGAAAAAGUACUUAGUGUUUGACAUUGAUCUGGUUGAUUUAUAUGCUCCGGGGAUUCAAAUGUGUUCUGAAAAUGGAGGGAAAAUUUAGAGAGAUGUUGAUUGGGAUAAUCUGCUUUUGAGGGUAAAAAAUGAAAAGGGCAACGUAUCAUUACACGAGGCCUUGAUGAACGGUCACCAAGUUGUAGCUUAUUAUUUGAUCACGGUAGAUCCAGAAGUGUUAUAUUAUCUGAACAAUGAAGUGAAAUCAGCUCUGUUUCUAGCUGCUGAAGUAGGGUUUUAGGAACUUGUCACGCAUAUUCUAUGUGAUACAGUUGGGAUUGAAAAUACAAAUGAAAGACUUAAAGGGUAAUCACCUAUUCAUGCUGCCAUUUUAAAAAGAAACCGAGGUGUUUUUGAUGCCUUAUUGAAAUCAGAACCAAGGCUCAUUCGAUUAAGAGAUGAAGAAGGAAGGACUCCACUUCACUUGAUUGCAUGAUUGGGCUAUCUUGAAGAGGUUCAAUACUUGUUAGGAAGGCAGAGUUCAGGUGCUAUUGCCAGGGACAACAAUGGCUUACUUCCUAUUCAUUUAGCAUCAAUUAAAGGCCAUGUUGAUGUUGUCCGGGCGUUGCUUCAGUAUUGGCCUGAUUCGAGGGAACUGCUCAACUGUCAUGGUCAAAAUAUUCUUCAUGUUGCAGCCAAGAGCAGAGGACAUAACAUGGUUAGUUACAUUCUCCAAACUCCUGAGGUCGAGAAGUUUUAUAAACAUGAGGGAUAAGCAUGGAAACACAACCUUGCAUUUGGCCACCUUGGAUUGGCAUCCAAAGAUUGUUAGUACCCUAACAUGGGAUGAAAGAGUGGACUUAUAGUGAAUAAUGAGGGUAUGUCUACUCUUGAUUCUGCUGAAUACUACAUGGAAAGAAUGUCCUCAUUUCGAAAGGUGGUCAUAGUUUAAAUUUGUGGGACAUUUUUAUCUUGCGACGGUUAACAUGGACUGCAUUGAUGGCCGCUGGUGCACCACUAGCUUACUGUAGAAAAGCCGUCAAUGCUAAAAAGAAACAAGCAUCUAUGCAACUGGAGCAAGUGAACAUAGACAGCUAUAAGGACCGAUUCAACACUCUUCUAUUGGUGUCCACCCUCAUUGCCACUGUAACUUUUGCAGCUGGUUGCACAAUACCCUAUGGUUAUAACAACAUUGAACCUGACCAAGGCAUGCCAACUAUGCUAAAACACAAGUGGUUUCACAUAUUCAUUUUCUGUGACACCAUAGCUCCAUUAUUACUGCUGUUACCCUCAUAUGGGCAGAAUUAGGGGACCUCAAUUUGGUGCUUACUGCCUACAGAUUGGCGACACUGCCACUACUGGGGAUCACUCUCACCAAAGCAAGGAGGAAAUGAUAUCAACAAAGAUAUUUCCUCAUUUAAUUUAUUUGAUUUGUUGGUUAAUUGGGUUCCUUUUGUUUGCUUUUGGUCUUAUAUGUUGGUAUCUAAGUAGCUUGCCAGCAAGUACGUAAUUGUACGUAAUGUUUUGAUGUUUUAGUGUUUUACAGUUAAUGUGGCUGUUAUAUGUUGGAGAUGAGUGGUUUUGUUCU